Molecule: ribosomal RNA, 460 nt
Filed under: uncultured bacterium
Lineage: Bacteria
Description: partial 16S ribosomal RNA
Rfam family: Bacterial small subunit ribosomal RNA
Source: RNAcentral
CCUACGGGAGGCUGCAGUGAGGAAUAUUGGUCAAUGGACGAGAGUCUGAACCAGCCAAGUAGCGUGAAGGAUGACUGCCCUAUGGGUUGUAAACUUCUUUUAUAUGGGAAUAAAAUGUUCCACGUGUGGGAUUUUGUAUGUACCAUAUGAAUAAGGAUCGGCUAACUCCGUGCCAGCAGCCGCGGUAAUACGGAGGAUCCGAGCGUUAUCCGGAUUGAUUGGGUUUAAAGGGAGCGUAGGUGGAUUGUUAAGUCAGUUGUGAAAGUUUGCGGCGCAACCGUAAAAUUGCAGUUGAAACGGGCAGUCUUGAGUACAGUAGAGGUGGGCGGAAUUCGUGGUGUAGCGGUGAAAUGCUUAGAGAUCACGAAGAACUCCGAUUGCGAAGGCAGCUCACUGGACUGCAACUGACACUGAGGCUCGAAAGUGUGGGUAUCAAACAGGAUUAGAUACCCGAGUAGUC